Phascolarctos cinereus (koala) is the source of this 402-nucleotide non-coding RNA. The record is from RefSeq and is a predicted model, not a curated record. NCBI's taxonomy places the organism in Eukaryota, Metazoa, Chordata, Mammalia, Diprotodontia, Phascolarctidae.
CUUGAACUAAUAAAAUAAACUGCCUCGGUUGGCUGAUUUGCCAGGAGAGCUCCAUUCUAUCCCAGGCAAGCUGUUCUAGGACUCAUGGCUGAAUGAGGCUCUCCUUUCUCCAGGUCACUUAUUGUCUUUGGGAAGGACAGAGCUGGUCAUUCCUAAGGGAGCUUCCUGUGACCACAAAAUAUAAGAAGCCAUUGAGACUUCCCACCCCCUACCUCCCAGGUUUCUGCUAUUCAUGUCAUCUCCAUCUCUCUCUACUGCCUACCAUUGAGCCCUCUCUUAUCCCAAAGACAAGAAGUAGAACUGCUAUAGUGCUUGAGUCUGUCAAGGUAUGCAACAUUCUGUCCCCAUAAACACCCGCCUCUCUGCUGAGAGGGGCUGAGCAUGUUUCAUUGUCGCUUUUUU